AGUCGAACGGAACUGUUUUGAAAGAUUUCUUCGGAAUGAAUUUGAUUUAGUUUAGUGGCGGACGGGUGAGUAACGCGUGAGUAACCUGCCUUCAAGAGGGGGAUAACAUUCUGAAAAGAAUGCUAAUACCGCAUGACAUAUUGGAAUCACAUGAUUUUGAUAUCAAAGAUUUUAUCGCUUGAAGAUGGACUCGCGUCCGAUUAGUUAGUUGGUGAGGUAACGGCUCACCAAGACCGCGAUCGGUAGCCGGACUGAGAGGUUGAACGGCCACAUUGGGACUGAGACACGGCCCAGACUCCUACGGGAGGCAGCAGUGGGGGAUAUUGCGCAAUGGGGGCAACCCUGACGCAGCAACGCCGCGUGAAGGAUGAAGGUUUUCGGAUUGUAAACUUCUUUUAUUAAGGACGAAACUUGACGGUACUUAAUGAAUAAGCUCCGGCUAACUACGUGCCAGCAGCCGCGGUAAUACGUAGGGAGCAAGCGUUGUCCGGAUUUACUGGGUGUAAAGGGUGCGUAGGCGGCUUUGCAAGUCAGAUGUGAAAUCUAUGGGCUCAACCCAUAAACUGCAUUUGAAACUGUAGAGCUUGAGUGAAGUAGAGGCAGGCGGAAUUCCCCGUGUAGCGGUGAAAUGCGUAGAGAUGGGGAGGAACACCAGUGGCGAAGGCGGCCUGCUGGGCUUUAACUGACGCUGAGGCACGAAAGCGUGGGUAGCAAACAGGAUUAGAUACCCUGGUAGUCCACGCUGUAAACGAUGAUUACUAGGUGUGGGGGG
RNAcentral lists this ribosomal RNA (772 nucleotides) under uncultured bacterium. Its description in RNAcentral is "bacterial SSU rRNA". It matches the Rfam family "Bacterial small subunit ribosomal RNA", at positions 60 to 829 of the family's 1533-position model. The record is from RNAcentral.